ACGAGCUGUGCAAACGUUAUUCGGAAUUACUGGGCUUAAAGAGUUCGUAGGCGGCGCGUUAGGUGGGGUGUGAAAUCCCUCGGCUCAACCGAGGAAUUGCGCUCCAAACCGGCGUGCUUGAGGAAGGUAGAGGUGAGCGGAACUGAUGGUGGAGCGGUGAAAUGCGUUGAUAUCAUCAGGAACACCGGAGGCGAAGGCGGCUCACUGGGCCUUUUCUGACGCUGAGGAACGAAAGCCAGGGUAGCGAACGGGA
RNAcentral lists this ribosomal RNA (253 nucleotides) under uncultured prokaryote. Its description in RNAcentral is "partial 16S ribosomal RNA". It matches the Rfam family "Bacterial small subunit ribosomal RNA", at positions 525 to 777 of the family's 1533-position model. The record is from RNAcentral.